RNAcentral lists this ribosomal RNA (745 nucleotides) under uncultured bacterium. Its description in RNAcentral is "bacterial SSU rRNA". It matches the Rfam family "Bacterial small subunit ribosomal RNA", at positions 33 to 773 of the family's 1533-position model. The record is from RNAcentral.
ACGCUGGCGGCAGGCCUAACACAUGCAAGUCGAGCGGUAGAGAGAAGCUUGCUUCUCUUGAGAGCGGCGGACGGGUGAGUAAUGCCUAGGAAUCUGCCUGGUAGUGGGGGAUAACGUUCGGAAACGGACGCUAGUACCGCAUACGUCCUACGGGAGAAAGCAGGGGACCUUCGGGCCUUGCGCUAUCAGAUGAGCCUAGGUCGGAUUAGCUAGUUGGUGGGGUAAUGGCUCACCAAGGCGACGAUCCGUAACUGGUCUGAGAGGAUGAUCAGUCACACCGGAACUGAGACACGGUCCAGACUCCUACGGGAGGCAGCAGUGGGGAAUAUUGGACAAUGGGCGAAAGCCUGAUCCAGCCAUGCCGCGUGUGUGAAGAAGGUCUUCGGAUUGUAAAGCACUUUAAGUUGGGAGGAAGGGUUGUAGAUUAAUACUCUGCAAUUUUGACGUUACCGACAGAAUAAGCACCGGCUAACUCUGUGCCAGCAGCCGCGGUAAUACAGAGGGUGCAAGCGUUAAUCGGAAUUACUGGGCGUAAAGCGCGCGUAGGUGGUUAGUUAAGUUGGAUGUGAAAUCCCCGGGCUCAACCUGGGAACUGCAUUCAAAACUGACUGACUAGAGUAUGGUAGAGGGUGGUGGAAUUUCCUGUGUAGCGGUGAAAUGCGUAGAUAUAGGAAGGAACACCAGUGGCGAAGGCGACCACCUGGACUGAUACUGACACUGAGGUGCGAAAGCGUGGGGAGCAAAC